UACAAAUAUUCAACUUGCAAAUAGGAGAACAUUUAUUACAAUUCUUGUUAAACCCGAUUCUAUUCGCACUGAAGUUUUUCCAUCGGUGUAUACAGCUGACACAACGUCAUUUAAAAGGACAUAAAUGCCUCCACGGAGUGCGUUUAUCCCAAGUCAAUAAAUCCAUGCUCAAGAUCGAUAUCGUGUGCAUUUAACGUCUCCCAUAAACUAUCGAAUCUUAUACGGUGAACUAGUUCCGUUGACCAGACAGGUUGCCUCGGCCAUCCUGCACGGAUAUACGUAAAGUCGACGUCCUUAAAUGCAUCAUGCGUCUCGUAAUACUCAUCCGAUUAUCCGUUCAUUCAUUUCGCUUAAUUGCCCACACCGUUAUCAGACGGGCUUUAAGCUGAACGUCUGAGGAACGCAGCAUCCUCGGUUGUUUUAUAAAAAGACAAGUUUAUUCAUAUACGGAUCACGUUAUGAUAAUGUGCGAUUAAAUUCAUAUAUAGGUAACUAUGCUUGCAGGGGCAAGUGAGACUAGUUAUGGAAUGUGUGAGAGAGGAUGUUGAAUCACAGGUUGAAGCUAUAAUUACGUACAAAGAUUAUGGAGGAAAUGGUAAAAAGAGUAAAUUAUAGUAAAUACA
Bombus pascuorum is the source of this 623-nucleotide long non-coding RNA. RefSeq lists it as uncharacterized. The transcript is spliced from 2 exons. The record is from RefSeq and is a predicted model, not a curated record. NCBI's taxonomy places the organism in Eukaryota, Metazoa, Arthropoda, Insecta, Hymenoptera, Apidae.